AUGUCCCACCCGUCCACUCCGUUUUCUGAGUGCACUGUCCUCACCGGCCCGACGACUGCUCGCUACGUCUUGUCAGCC
This 78-nucleotide small RNA is filed under the name Xanthomonas vesicatoria. RNAcentral's name for it is "sX9". It matches the Rfam family "Xanthomonas sRNA sX9". Lineage: Bacteria; Pseudomonadati; Pseudomonadota; Gammaproteobacteria; Lysobacterales; Lysobacteraceae. The record is from RNAcentral. RNAcentral also lists the same sequence under 1 other name.